CCUACGGGGCGCAGCAGUAGGGAAUCUUCCACAAUGGGCGAAAGCCUGAUGGAGCAACGCCGCGUGGGUGAAGAAGGUCUUCGGAUCGUAAAACCCUGUUGUUAGAGAAGAAAGUGCGUGAGAGUAACUGUUCACGUUUCGACGGUAUCUAACCAGAAAGCCACGGCUAACUACGUGCCAGCAGCCGCGGUAAUACGUAGGUGGCAAGCGUUAUCCGGAUUUACUGGGCGUAAAGGGAGCGUAGGCGGCCUGCCAAGUCUGAUGUGAAAUACCGGGGCUCAACCCCGGGGCUGCAUUGGAAACUG
Molecule: ribosomal RNA, 305 nt
Filed under: uncultured bacterium
Lineage: Bacteria
Description: bacterial SSU rRNA
Rfam family: Bacterial small subunit ribosomal RNA
Source: RNAcentral